Zingiber officinale is the source of this 1297-nucleotide RNA transcript. It is a transcript of the gene named stomatin-like protein 2, mitochondrial, with no coding region annotated. The record is from RefSeq and is a predicted model, not a curated record. NCBI's taxonomy places the organism in Eukaryota, Viridiplantae, Streptophyta, Magnoliopsida, Zingiberales, Zingiberaceae. The transcript is spliced from 4 exons.
CCAACCUAGUUUUCGAAAGCCGAUUCAGGAAAGAGAGAUGGCGAUGCUGCAGAGAGCCAAACGCCUUCCGCUCCGCGCCGCCGCUGCGGCAGCUGCCAUCGAAUCACGCUUUUUCCUCCGCCGAGCACUUCCUCAAAUUCCCAUCCGCGAGUACCGAAGCAGCUGCUUUCGCAACCACUUGCCCUCCUCAAGGUAUGUGCAACAGUCGCUGCCUAUAAACUGGGGCGUUAACAUCGUGCCGAAAAAGAAAGCCUAUGUAGUGGAGAGGUUCGGAAAGUAUCAUAGGACCCUAGACUCUGGGAUUCACAUUCUUAUCCCGUUCAUCGACAGAAUCACAUACGUGCACUCAGUCGAGGAGGAGCUUGUUGAUCUCAUCCUUGCUUCGUAUGGUGUGGUGGAGAACCCAAUAUAUCUCGUAAUCCAUCUAACAAAGAUGAGGAUGAGGAGUGAGCUGAGGAAGAUGACUCUUGAUAAAACGUUGGAAGAAAGGGAUACUCUAAAUGAGAACAUUACGGUGUGUGUUUAUUUUUCUUCCUAUGCAAUUUCAUCUCUCGCAUGGCAAAAAAUUGCAUUCCUUAUGGACCCGACUAUAAUUUUUAUUUGUUGUACUUUUGUUGGAUAUUUGGAUGAAUGUUUUUUGCUCCCUCAUACUCAUGGUAUUUUACAGUCGACUGUAUGCUCUGCAAAGCAAGGGAAGAUUAUUUUGUCGACAUUCAUGGUUUUCUACAUCACACUAUUCUUUGGAAAUACUAUGAAAUUUCAUGCCUUCACAAUCACAUCUCAUACACUUCGCUUUCCGUAAUAAAAUCAAUGUUUAUAUAGCAACUCCCAACAUGGUCUUAACUUGGAAUUAAUUCAUCCUAUAACUCUGGAGAACUAAUCUUAAAGCUUCUACAUUAAUAUUUUAAGUUAGAACUUUACACUUGGUUGUUUCUUCAAUGAACUGCUUUAUUUUGAGACUUAAAACAUAUUAUAGAGAUAUUUGGGUAAGCAUCAUUCUUUGAGCUGAAGUAAUUCUGUGUAACCUGGUAAUAAGUCCAUAUGAUAGGCCUAGGAUUACUAGCAGUGCAGUUGUGCUCAUGCUUGCAAAACUUUAAUCAAUAUUUUUUUUGGCUUCAUUUUUAUCCAUGUUUUUCCCUUCCACAUAGAGCAAUCAACAAGGUUACUUCUAAUUGGGGUCUUAAAUGUCUGCGUUAUGAAAUCCGGGAUAUAUCUCCACCACCUGGAGUCAAGGCAGCUAUGGAGAUGCAAGCUGAAGCAGAAAAAAGAAAACGUGCUCAAGUUCUUGAAUCUGAAG